Molecule: long non-coding RNA, 1098 nt
Organism: Gallus gallus (chicken)
Lineage: Eukaryota; Metazoa; Chordata; Aves; Galliformes; Phasianidae
Source: Ensembl
GGCAGGACACACAGCACUUAACUUUAAGCCCUGUUUCCGCUGGGUCAUCAUCCUCCAUGGUUGGAAGCUGAAGGCUUGCAAAAGGUGAAGCGUAAGGACCCCCCUGUUGGUGGUCCCAGUGCCUGCCUUGGCAGCGUGCCAGGAGCCCAAGGGAUGCACUUAAUUUUCUUUAUUCAUUAGCAUAUUUUUAAUCAAACGCAUCAAACCACAAUGUUUCCACAUGUCUCUCCCAUGGCAGAUGAACAAAAAUAGGUCAGUGCAUCUGAAUCCUCUCCAACUUAGCUUCAACUCUACAGCAUUUGUUUAAUGUUAAUUUUCAGAGAACAAUCAAGCAGGUGCAAUGUCCAGGGCUUAGUUCCCCGGCCCUAAUGAAGCUUCAGGACUGCUUACACCUAGCUUAAUAACAGGCUUUUUACAUUCUUGUCACCUGUAAGCUACCUUCAUUUACCUCAUGCUGCCAACCCAUCUCUAGCCGGGCAAGGAAAAUGUUGCAGUGUUGAGAUCAUGUUCACACUUGCAGCUGAGACGUGUCUUGCCUUGUUUCUUAUCUCUGAAUUGUUCAUAACAAGAGCUAAGUAAAAAAUUACUCUUCAUGUUUUUUACAUGAGCUUUCAAAGUUGGUUACACUGUUCUGGGUGGGGUGAAUAUUGCAUCAACACCAAGUUAAAACUUAUCUUUUGUUCUUCUUUUUUGGAGAGAAAAGGGGAAAUAGGCUCCAGAGGGAAUAGUUUUCACCACGAGACAAAAAUCCAGUGAAGGGCAAGGUAUUAAAUAGGCUUGGAGCAUUUGAAAAGUGGGUCUGUUAUGAAGGGAUGCAUGCUUUACUUUCUGUUCUGAUUUCUUCUAGGAAAUCUGACUUGUGCUCUGUGUUAAAUGUAUCUGUGAGGACCUAUCCUGAGCUUAGAAAUUUGAUGGAGUUGUCCUUGUGCACCACGUUGACUUGUUCUUCACGCUGCCUCUGUGGGCUGCAUGAGGUUGUACAAAGGGACAUGGUUUAGUGUACUAGUGGUAGGUGGAGGGCUUCCAACCUUGGAAGUUGGGAGAAGCCAAAGCAUGUAACUUGCAAUUGGUCGCCAGGCCUCUGUUCCAUGUUUUUUU